RNAcentral lists this ribosomal RNA (430 nucleotides) under uncultured Desulfobulbaceae bacterium. Its description in RNAcentral is "bacterial SSU rRNA". It matches the Rfam family "Bacterial small subunit ribosomal RNA", at positions 355 to 776 of the family's 1533-position model. The record is from RNAcentral. Lineage: Bacteria; Pseudomonadati; Thermodesulfobacteriota; Desulfobulbia; Desulfobulbales; Desulfobulbaceae.
UGAGGAAUUUUGCACAAUGGGGGAAACCCUGAUGCAGCGACGCCGCGUGAGUGACGAAGGUCUUCGGAUCGUAAAGCUCUGUCAGCAGGGAAGAAAUGUAUCAUGGCUAAUAUCCAUGGUACUUGACGGUACCUGCAAAGGAAGCACCGGCUAACUCCGUGCCAGCAGCCGCGGUAAUACGGAGGGUGCGAGCGUUGUUCGGAUUUACUGGGCGUAAAGGGCGCGUAGGCGGUUUUAUAAGCCAGAUGUGAAAGCCCACGGCUCAACCGUGGAAGUGCAUCUGGAACUGUAAGACUUGAGUACUGGAGGGGAGUGUGGAAUUCCCGGUGUAGAGGUGAAAUUCGUAGAUAUCGGGAGGAAUACCGGUGGCGAAGGCGACACUCUGGACAGAUACUGACGCUGAGGCGCGAAAGCGUGGGGAGCAAACAGG